UGGGGAAUAUUGCACAAUGGAGGGAACUCUGAUGCAGCGACGCCGCGUGAACGAAGAAGGCUUUCGAGUCGUAAAGUUCUUUUAUAUGGGAAGAUAAUGACGGUACCAUAAGAAAAAGCCCCGGCUAACUACGUGCCAGCAGCCGCGGUAAUACGUAGGGGGCUAGCGUUGUCCGGAAUCACUGGGAGUAAAGGGUUCGCAGGCGGAAAUGCAAGUCAGAUGUAAAAGGCAGUAGCUUAACUACUGUAAGCAUUUGAAACUGCAUAUCUUGAGAAGAGUAGAGGUAAGUGGAAUUUUUAGUGUAGCGGUGAAAUGCGUAGAUAUUAAAAAGAAUACCGGUGGCGAAGGCGACUUACUGGGCUCAUUCUGACGCUGAGGAACGAAAGCGUGGGUAGCAAACAGG
RNAcentral lists this ribosomal RNA (403 nucleotides) under Fusobacteriota bacterium. RNAcentral's name for it is "Fusobacteria bacterium partial 16S ribosomal RNA". It matches the Rfam family "Bacterial small subunit ribosomal RNA", at positions 355 to 776 of the family's 1533-position model. Lineage: Bacteria; Fusobacteriati; Fusobacteriota. The record is from RNAcentral.